Molecule: ribosomal RNA, 627 nt
Filed under: Vibrio parahaemolyticus
Lineage: Bacteria; Pseudomonadati; Pseudomonadota; Gammaproteobacteria; Vibrionales; Vibrionaceae
Description: partial 23S ribosomal RNA
Rfam family: Bacterial large subunit ribosomal RNA
Source: RNAcentral
GGCUCAGACAGCCAGGAUGUUGGCUUAGAAGCAGCCAUCAUUUAAAGAAAGCGUAAUAGCUCACUGGUCGAGUCGGCCUGCGCGGAAGAUGUAACGGGGCUAAGUAGUAAACCGAAGCUGCGGCAAUGUGCUUUUGCACAUUGGGUAGGGGAGCGUUCUGUAAGCGGUUGAAGGUGUGUGGUAACGCAUGCUGGACGUAUCAGAAGUGCGAAUGCUGACAUGAGUAACGAUAAAGGGGGUGAAAAACCUCCUCGCCGGAAGACCAAGGGUUCCUGUCCAACGUUAAUCGGGGCAGGGUAAGUCGACCCCUAAGGCGAGGCCGAAAGGCGUAGUCGAUGGGAAACGGGUUAAUAUUCCCGUACUUCUUACAAUUGCGAUGGGGGGACGGAGAAGGCUAGGUGGGCCUGGCGACGGUUGUCCAGGUUCAAGUGCGUAGGCUUAAGAGUUAGGUAAAUCCGGCUCUUUCUAAGGCUGAGACACGACGUCGAGCACCUACGGGUGUGAAGUCAUUGAUGCCAUGCUUCCAGGAAAAGCCUCUAAGCUUCAGAUUGUAAGGAAUCGUACCCCAAACCGACACAGGUGGUCGGGUAGAGAAUACCAAGGCGCUUGAGAGAACUCGGGUGAAGG